Molecule: ribosomal RNA, 484 nt
Filed under: uncultured bacterium
Lineage: Bacteria
Description: partial 16S ribosomal RNA
Rfam family: Bacterial small subunit ribosomal RNA
Source: RNAcentral
AUUGAACGCUGGCGGCAGGCCUAACACAUGCAAGUCGAGCGGAUGAAGGGAGCUUGCUCCUGGAUUCAGCGGCGGACGGGUGAGUAAUGCCUAGGAAUCUGCCUGGUAGUGGGGGAUAACGUCCGGAAACGGGCGCUAAUACCGCAUACGUCCUGAGGGAGAAAGUGGGGGAUCUUCGGACCUCACGCUAUCAGAUGAGCCUAGGUCGGAUUAGCUAGUUGGUGGGGUAAAGGCCUACCAAGGCGACGAUCCGUAACUGGUCGGAGAGGAUGAUCAGUCACACUGGAACUGAGACACGGUCCAGACUCCUACGGGAGGCAGCAGUGGGGAAUAUUGGACGAUGGGCGAAAGCCUGAUCCAGCCAUGCCGCGUGUGUGAAGAAGGUCUUCGGAUUGUAAAGCACUUUAAGUUGGGAGGAAGGGCAGUAAGUUAAUACCUUGCUGUUUUGACGUUACCAACAGAAUAAGCACCGGCUAACUUCGUG